This 107-nucleotide small nucleolar RNA is filed under the name Arabidopsis thaliana x Arabidopsis arenosa. RNAcentral's name for it is "snoR71". It matches the Rfam family "Plant small nucleolar RNA R71". Rfam says of the family: R71 is a member of the C/D box family of snoRNAs containing the C (UGAUGA) and D (CUGA) box motifs. Multiple nearly identical copies of this snoRNA have been identified in Arabidopsis, and it is thought to function as a 2'-O-ribose methylation guide for 18S ribosomal RNA. The record is from RNAcentral. Lineage: Eukaryota; Viridiplantae; Streptophyta; Magnoliopsida; Brassicales; Brassicaceae.
AAUCCGUAAUGAGGGCAUUUGGUUUGAUAACCCUUAAAGUGCUCCCAAGAUUCACAGAAGCUUUCAUUUUGCUUCUGAGUGAAUCUGGAUAUCUCGUUCCGGAGUCC